RNAcentral lists this ribosomal RNA (253 nucleotides) under uncultured bacterium. Its description in RNAcentral is "partial 16S ribosomal RNA". It matches the Rfam family "Bacterial small subunit ribosomal RNA", at positions 524 to 776 of the family's 1533-position model. The record is from RNAcentral.
UACGUAGGGUGCAAGCGUUAAUCGGAAUUACUGGGCGUAAAGCGUGCGCAGGCGGUGAUGUAAGACAGAUGUGAAAUCCCCGGGCUCAACCUGGGAACUGCAUUUGUGACUGCAUCGCUGGAGUGCGGCAGAGGGGGAUGGAAUUCCGCGUGUAGCAGUGAAAUGCGUAGAUAUGCGGAGGAACACCGAUGGCGAAGGCAGGUCUCUGGGCUGACACUGACGCUCAUGCACGAAAGCCAGGGGAGCGAACGGG